CCGUGGACCCCGCGCGGCGUCCAUCCUGUGAACUCCCCCAGGGCCGGAAGGCAGCAAGGGUCAACGGGCUCUGGC
This 75-nucleotide signal recognition particle RNA is filed under the name Mycobacterium sp. ITM-2017-0098. RNAcentral's name for it is "partial signal recognition particle sRNA small type". It matches the Rfam family "Bacterial small signal recognition particle RNA", at positions 1 to 73 of the family's 97-position model. Rfam says of the family: The signal recognition particle (SRP) is a universally conserved ribonucleoprotein involved in the co-translational targeting of proteins to membranes. Archaeal SRP consists of a 7S RNA and homologues of the eukaryotic SRP19 and SRP54 proteins. The record is from RNAcentral. Lineage: Bacteria; Bacillati; Actinomycetota; Actinomycetes; Mycobacteriales; Mycobacteriaceae.